Molecule: non-coding RNA, 26 nt
Filed under: Homo sapiens (human)
Lineage: Eukaryota; Metazoa; Chordata; Mammalia; Primates; Hominidae
Source: RNAcentral
CCAGAAACCUGAAACCAGCCGCGUGA